AUACGGAGGGUGCAAGCGUUGUUCGGAAUUACUGGGCGUAAAGCGCGCGGAGGUGGUCUGUUAUGUCAGAUGUGAAAGUCCACGGCUCAACCGUGGAAGUGCAUUUGAAACUGGCAGACUUGAGUACUGGAGGGGGUAGUGGAAUUCCCGGUGUAGAGGUGAAAUUCGUAGAUAUCGGGAGGAAUACCGGUGGCGAAGGCGACUACCUGGCCAGAUACUGACACUGAGGUGUGAAAGCGUGGGGAGCGAACAGGAUUAGAAACCCCGGUAGUCC
This 274-nucleotide ribosomal RNA is filed under the name uncultured bacterium. RNAcentral's name for it is "partial 16S ribosomal RNA". It matches the Rfam family "Bacterial small subunit ribosomal RNA", at positions 523 to 796 of the family's 1533-position model. The record is from RNAcentral.